Molecule: ribosomal RNA, 337 nt
Filed under: uncultured soil bacterium
Lineage: Bacteria
Description: bacterial SSU rRNA
Rfam family: Bacterial small subunit ribosomal RNA
Source: RNAcentral
AGAUUGAACGCUGGCGGAGUGCUUUACACAUGCAAGUCGAACGGCAGCACGGGACUCAGGCAACUGAGCCCUGGUGGCGAGUGGCGAACGGGUGAGUAACAUAUCGGAACGUACCCAGUCGUGGGGGAUAACUCUCCGAAAGGAGAGCUAAUACCGCAUACGUCCUGAGGGAGAAAGCGGGGGACCUAAGGGUAACUGAGGGCCUCGCGCGAUUGGAGCGGCCGAUAUCGGAUUAGCUAGUUGGUGAGGUAAAGGCUCACCAAGGCGACGAUCCGUAGCGGGUCUGAGAGGACGACCGCCACACUGGAACUGAGACACGGUCCAGGCUCCUACGGGA